This 440-nucleotide ribosomal RNA is filed under the name uncultured bacterium. RNAcentral's name for it is "partial 16S ribosomal RNA". It matches the Rfam family "Bacterial small subunit ribosomal RNA", at positions 338 to 795 of the family's 1533-position model. The record is from RNAcentral.
CCUACGGGGGGCAGCAGUGGGGAAUAUUGCACAAUGGGGGAAACCCUGAUGCAGCGACGCCGCGUGAGUGAUGAAGUAUUUCGGUAUGUAAAGCUCUAUCAGCAGGGAAGAAAAUGACGGUACCUGAGUAAGAAGCCCCGGCUAACUACGUGCCAGCAGCCGCGGUAAUACGUAGGGGGCAAGCGUUAUCCGGAUUUACUGGGUGUAAAGGGAGCGUAGACGGCAGUGCAAGUCAGGUGUGAAAGGCGGGGGCUCAACCCCGGGACUGCACUUGAAACUGUACGGCUGGAGUGCAGGAGAGGUAGGCGGAAUUCCUAGUGUAGCGGUGAAAUGCGUAGAUAUUAGGAGGAACACCAGUGGCGAAGGCGGCUUACUGGACUGUAACUGACGUUGAGGCUCGAAAGCGUGGGGAGCAAACAGGAUUAGAUACCCCUGUAGUC